This 426-nucleotide ribosomal RNA is filed under the name uncultured bacterium. RNAcentral's name for it is "partial 16S ribosomal RNA". It matches the Rfam family "Bacterial small subunit ribosomal RNA", at positions 354 to 796 of the family's 1533-position model. The record is from RNAcentral.
GUGAGGAAUUUUCCGCAAUGGGCGAAAGCCUGACGGAGCAAUGCCGCGUGAAGGAUGAAGGCCUAUGGGUUGUAAACUUCUUUUCUCAGAAAAGAAUUAUGACGGUAUCUGAGGAAUAAGCAUCGGCUAACUCUGUGCCAGCAGCCGCGGUAAGACAGAGGAUGCAAGAGUUAUCCGGAAUGAUUGGGCGUAAAGCGUCUGUAGGUUGUUUAAAAAGUAUUCUGUCAAAGAUUAGGGCUUAACCCUAGGUAGGCAGAAUAAACUUUUAAGCUAGAGUUUGGUAGAGGCAGAGGGAAUGCCCGGUGGAGCGGUGAAAUGCGUAGAUAUCGGGAGGAACACCAAAGGCGAAGGCACUCUGCUGGGCCAAUACUAACACUGAGAGACGAAAGCGAGGGGAGCAAAUGGGAUUAGAAACCCGAGUAGUCC